AAGUAAUGAGAUUGAUUUCUGU
Molecule: microRNA, 22 nt
Filed under: Sarcophilus harrisii (Tasmanian devil)
Lineage: Eukaryota; Metazoa; Chordata; Mammalia; Dasyuromorphia; Dasyuridae
Also listed under: 2 other names
Description: Sha-Mir-12468_5p (mature (guide))
Source: RNAcentral